ACAAGGAGGCUGUGCCUAACGGUCUGACCCGUUUGCACGCCAGGGGCGAGGGGCCGGAUGCUGGGUCCUCCCCGCUUUGGAGGGUUCUUCGCUGGCCUCCUUCGGAAGCUCCCCUCCACCCACAAGCAGGAGACAAGACUCCGUGGGUUGGCUUCCAACCCUGGCAGCACGUUAGAGUCACUUGUGGGACUUUAAAGAAAGAUUUUUUGACGUGAUCUUGGUUACCUGGCUGUGUGUGUCUCUCAAGUCAGAACUGAACACUAGAUGCAAUAUACUGUAUGUACAUUGUACAUUAAUACAAAAAUGAAAAAGGAUCCUAAUGCCCAGGCCUUUGGGGUGGGGGCAACAGCCUUCUUUGCAGUGUGAAGGCCACACUGGGGUGUAGACGAGCAAAGCUUCUUGUGUGACCUGCCAAGGGCCAGUGGUCCUAGCACUGCAAUUCCCCACCCCAGCCACGGGGGAGGGACAGAGGACCCCAGAGCAUCCUCUGCAUGGGGCUGGCCUUCAGUGGGACCCCUGUGCCCCUAACUGUCCUCUGCCUUGUACUUGUGUCCAGCCGAUCCCCCAUAAACUGCAGUGAGGACCAGGAACAUGCCUGGAGCCCUGUGGCCUCAUCUCAGAGCUGCUGUCCCUGCACUUUGAAGAUGAGGCAGCGCAUUUGGGGAGCGGCUGCAUUUAGGGAGUGGCCAAAAUCUCCAGACACUGCAUUCCUGACACUUAGUGCUCCUGGAAGAAGUGGGAGGGGUGCAGUUCUCUUAGCUUCCAGGCAGACUGGAAAAAGUUCUUUUUCAUCCCAGGACAGACUGGGGCAGGUCACACCCAUCCUCUAGGAACACUGGGGCGAUUCUCUCAUCAAAGGUCAAAUGGAUGCAGUUCUCUCUCAUCCUACAAAUAGACUGGUGACAUUUCUCUUUCACCCCUUCCCUCAUACAGGGAGGUCAAAGGGCAGACUCCAGAAUUCCCAAACUUCAGUCAUUCAUGUGCUGCCUUUGAGAUUUGUUGUACUCAUAAGCACUAGUUUAACUAUUGUCUUUCAGUCAUCCCAUUUUUUAAACUUUGAAGUAAUGGAUAGGCAAGUUAAGUUUAUUUUUUUCUCUCGAAUACCUUAAAGCAAAUGCAUUCCUGAUAAAACUGAAAGUACUUAUUCAAGUACCUAAUAAAACUGAGUCACGCACCACUGCAAUAAGGGGCCACUGGCCUGAAAAAUCCCCAAAUUUGUAAGUGGGCAGCCUCUGGCUCCACCCUGGGCCAGACCUGGGGCUCCUCUUGGGCAAAUUCAAAGUCAGUCCUUCGGAACUCUGACAAGUGUGGCCUCCUCCCCACCCCCAGGCUCUUGGGCUGGUGCUUUUGAAGGGUUUCCCAAACCUACACUCAAGUCUGGGAAUUCUCACCCAGACUCUUGCCAGCUCAUCUGUCUUUUCAAGUUUCACUUCCCCAACCCCCAGGGAGUCAAGCCAACCAGUGGAACCAAGAUGGCUGUAUUCCAGUAAAACGUUAAGGACACCGAAAUCUGAACUUCGCAAACUUUUCAUCUGUCACGUAAUCAUACUAUUUUGGGUAUUUCCCCCACCACUAACCACUUAAAAAUGUCAAGACCACUCUUAGCUCAGAGAUUUGGCUGGUGGGAGGAGUUUGCCCGCCCUUGCUUUAGCUGCUGCUGGUUGCUGGGACCCUGGGCGUCCUUCCUUGGUAGUUUGCACAAAUUUGCCAUGCAUUGCCUCAUUUGAUUCUCAUGACACAUGUAGGAGUUACUGUUAUUUUCAUUUUACAUAUAUUAAAACCGAGGCUGAGAUGACAUCACUACAAAGGAAGUUCCCUCCUGGGUCAACAGACCUCUGGGCCCUUAUAGCACUGAAUUCAGUGGGUCCUACUCAAAUCCCAGGGAAAAGUCGGUCAGUCAGAGUCACGGCCUGGUCCUCAGAAGGGAGGACAAAUGGUAGCUCUAUCUGCAGCUUCCCCAGGGCAUGCUCCUUACAGGGUAUGACUGGUAGAACAGGUAGAUGAACAAAGGCAGAGGCUCCUAAUGGAAGGACAGCAAGGAGGGGCCACCACCAACUCAAGCCUGGCAGGGGCUGAGGAAACCAUCCUGGCCCCAGUGAGUUUCCCUCUCAUUAUCUCAUCUGGAUCAGUUUCACAAUGCCUGCCUCCACCAGGGCUCCUACGGCUGCACCUGCAGGUCCCUUGCCCUCACCCUCCUCGUUGCAACCUUCAAAUCCCAGGCUUGCUCUGUUGGUGCUGACCUUGCAGCAAAUCCCCAGCCCCAGAAAAAUGUCCCCUUUCAGGGGAGUUGCUUUUUCGGCUCUACACAACUGUACCAUAACUUAGUAUUUCUAUUAAAAAUUUUUUUUUUUUACCUCAUCUGAGGUGAUACCAUUGGGCUAAUUGUAGGGGAAUGGCUCUACCUAGGGGUAUACUCUCAUAGGCCACAGGCCACACAGCUCAACUGAGCCUCCUGGAACUGAGAGUGGAGGCCUAGGAGGCGCUGCCACAAGGCCAGCUCCAUUCCCCGCUCCAUCCUUCUGGGAGGCUAUCAGGAGUUACUGUCUCCUGGGAUUUUUUUUCUAAGCAGGGAUGUGAGACUUCCGGUUCGUACCCCACUCCCCCCAUGGUAUAGCUGCAGACUAGACAAUCUGCUCAGCUGCAGUCUAGAAUUGGCUCCUCAACAAGGGGAGAUGCUGUGCCUCCUGUUGCAGGCCCCUUUGGGUGCUUUUCCAUUCACUGUCAGUAGUAAAUUGGAUGUAAGUCACUGGAGGCUGGGUGUGGUGGCUCACGUCUAUAAUCCCAGCACUUUGGGAGACUGAGACAGGUGGAUCACCUGAGGUCAGGGAGUUCGAGACCAGCCUGACCAACAUGGUAAAACCCCACGUCUACUAAAAAUACAAAAAUUAAGGCAUGGUGGCAUAUGCCUGUAAUCCCAGCUACUUAAGAGGCUGGGACAGGAGAAUCGCUUGAACUCGGGAGGUGGAGGUUAUGGUGAGCUAUCAUGCCACCGCACUCUAGCCUGGGCGACAGAGCAAGACUUCGUCUCAAAAAAAAAAAAAAAAAUGCUGGGCCUGGUGGCUCACGCCUGUAAUCCUAGCACUUUGGGAGGCUGAGGUGGGUGUAUCAUGAGGUCAGGAGUUCCAAGACCAGCCUGGCCAAGAUGGUGAAACCCCGUCUCUACUAAAAAUACAAAAUUAGCUGGGCAUGGUGGUGGGCGCCUGUAAUCCUAGCUACUUGGGAGGCUGAGGCAGGAAAAUCACUUCAUCCGGGAGGCAGACGUUGCAGUGAGCUGAGAUCAUGCCACUGCACUCCAGCCUGGAUGACAGAGACUCCAUCUCAAAAAAAAAAAAAAAGUCACUGGUACUUUAAUGGCUCUAUUUGUCAGGGCUUGGCCUGGCCUGCUGCAACAUUCCUUGACAACAUCCCCAAUACCAACAUGGGGCACAUCACACAUAUUAAGGGUAUUACUUCUGUAACUUGUUUGAAUGCUUAGGUGAAUACCUAAGACUAUCUGAUGAGACAGAAUGUCUUAUCGAGCCAACCAUCAAAUGCUCCUGGAAGGUAAAGCUCCUGAUGACAGUGCCUUUGUGCACCAUCACCUCACUGUAGAACUCAGCCAGUUGGCCUUGGCUUGUGAACUCUCACCACAGCUUGCCACUGUCAGUUGAAACUGGUGGCACAUGCACAUAAGAUGAUCAGAGUUCCAAGUGGCUAUCUACAAGCAUGAGCAUUGAGAAUGGUGAAAUACUUGGGGAUCCCUUGGACUUAGCUGACAACUCCUUCAAGAAGACGCAGGGUCUUCCUAUCUUUGCAUCUGGCAUAUGUAAAAAACAGGCAAGACUAAAUCACAUAUUUAAAUCCAUAUUUAUUAAAUAUCCCUUGUUUUUCAUUCAGGAGAUACCAGAAGGGCCCAGGUCCUGGUGCACAGCAAAGCUUCUCAUUCUGGAAGCAGAGAACCUGGCACCCAAACCUAGGGCCAGAGGUCUGUCUGCCAGACCCACAGCCCAGGCCCAGAACUGGAAAUUCCUGACUCCUUCCAGAAGGGCAACAAGCGAGGUUUCAAACUUGCUCAAUUAAGGUGCCAAGGCUUGCAUUCAAAUUCAGCUCCACUCCUCACUAGGUGUAUUAACACAGGCAGGCCUCAUCUGUAAAAAUGAGAUGAGAAACACUUCAGAGACCUGUUGUGAAAAUUAAGUGACAUAAUUGACACAACUAGGGAUUAUUACAAACCCCUGUUGCCAUCGGUGGCAACAACAGAACUGAACCCUACUUACCAACUCCUGAACCCACUCCCACCAUGAGCUGAGAGGCCUGUGACCAACCUCAGUGGCAGCCCAUGCCCUUUCCAGGGGCUGAAACACUGGCCACUGACCUAAGGUAACUCCGGAGAAAAGACUAUAUAUGUUGAAACCAAAUCACAAAAGCAGUAAAAUACCACCCUCAAGAAUCAGGGUUCAUGAGUCCAAACACUAGACAACUGUUUGUCCCAAAAUAGUAUUGUGAGCUUGAAGACAAUGAACCUUUCUGGGAUUCAAUCACCUGACUUACCAUACGGGAAGGUCAAAAUACUUUUCAUUAGCCAGGUGACUCUAAAUAAAACAGGAGUGAAGUGACUUGCCAGGUCAGACCUUCCUGCACACUUACCCCUGCACAGGUUCCAAGGAACAGCCUGGCAGCCACUGAAGGUAUCUUCUCUCAGGUCAGGUCCCCUCUAGCUCCAGCAUCUUGGGAUUGCUGCUGUAGAAACACUGACGGAUGGCAGGCACUCUUGUGCCAUGUGCUGGGUCAGGGACACAGAGUGAAGCCACUGGUGAGAGGUGGCUGUCAGGAACUGGCAGCUAACACGGUCGCCUCCCAGUUUCAUGGACACUGGUAGAAAAUACAAAAUUCCUCGAUUAGGGACAAGGGACCACUGAUUAUUCAAAACAAUAGCAAUAGCCAGAGCAUCAGCAUUUUCCACCACCCUCCCAAGCCCCAGUUCCCAUAGGGGAGUCAGAGGCACCUGCAUGAGCCAUUGGACUACUACAAGAAAGGAGCGCAGGACUCUACCCUUUCACAACGCACAGCAAGAAUGCCUGCCCUCUGCUCUGGAAGAAGGUACUAACCUCUUACCUUCCAAGGUGGUAGAACAUGCUUGAAAAGAUAGUAAGUGAAAAGGGGUAGCCAGUGCUUUACUCACAAGACUGCUUGAACAUGAGACUCAAGGAGGGACCUCAGCAGGCCUGGGGUGUUCAGCAACUAUUCCUGGCCUGAAAAGACAGAAUCAGCUGAAAGCCUCUACCUUUAAGAGAGGUGACCCCACCACCCAGAGGAACACAGGAGCUGUGCUGCUCGUGCUAUGCUCAAGCCAGCAACACUCUUCUCAUCCCAGCCAGUCCUUUAACACACCUAACACCAAGACAAGAACUUGAAGGCAUCCAUCUCCUUCCCAUCCAAAC
Molecule: long non-coding RNA, 5420 nt
Filed under: Homo sapiens (human)
Lineage: Eukaryota; Metazoa; Chordata; Mammalia; Primates; Hominidae
Description: HSALNT0340619
Source: RNAcentral